ACGGAAGGCAGCAGUGAGGAAUAUUGGUCAAUGGACGGAAGUCUGAACCAGCCAAGUAGCGUGCAGGAUGACGGCCCUAUGGGUUGUAAACUGCUUUUAACCGGGAAUAAAGAUUGCCACGUGUGGUGAGUUGCAUGUACCGGUUGAAUAAGGAUCGGCUAACUCCGUGCCAGCAGCCGCGGUAAUACGGAGGAUUCGAGCGUUAUCCGGAUUUAUUGGGUUUAAAGGGAGCGUAGGCGGUAGAUCAAGUCAGCUGUGAAAUAUAGGUGCUCAACAUCUGGACUGCAGUUGAAACUGGUUUACUUGAGUGCGUAAGAGGCAGGCGGAAUUCGUCGUGUAGCGGUGAAAUGCUUAGAUAUGACACAGAACACCGAUUGCGAAGGCAGCUCACUGGGACGCAACUGACGCUGAGGCACGAAAGUGCGGGGAUCGAACAGGAUUAGAUACCCUGGUA
Molecule: ribosomal RNA, 454 nt
Filed under: uncultured bacterium
Lineage: Bacteria
Description: partial 16S ribosomal RNA
Rfam family: Bacterial small subunit ribosomal RNA
Source: RNAcentral